Molecule: ribosomal RNA, 253 nt
Filed under: uncultured bacterium
Lineage: Bacteria
Description: partial 16S ribosomal RNA
Rfam family: Bacterial small subunit ribosomal RNA
Source: RNAcentral
UACGUAGGGUGCGAGCGUUGUCCGGAUUUAUUGGGCGUAAAGGGCUCGUAGGCGGCCUGUCGCGUCGGGAGUGAAAGCCCACUGCUUAACGGUGGGUCUGCUUCCGGUACGGGCGGGCUGGAGUAUGGCAGGGGAGACUGGAAUUCCUGGUGUAGCGGUGAAAUGCGCAGAUAUCAGGAGGAACACCGGUGGCGAAGGCGGGUCUCUGGGCCGAUACUGACGCUGAGGAGCGAAAGCGUGGGGAGCGAACAGG